UUCCGGUUGAUCCUGCCGGAGGUCAUUGCUAUUGGAGUCCGAUUUAGCCAUGCUAGUCGUACGAAUUCAGAUUCGUGGCGAAUAGCUCAGUAACACGUGGUCAAACUACCCACUGGAGCGCAAUACCCUCGGGAAACUGAGGCUAAUGGCGCAUACCGCUCGCUGCCUGGAAGUGGCGCGAGCAUGGAAUGCUCCGGCGCCAGUGGAUGUGGCUGCGGCCGAUUAGGUAGACGGUGGGGUAACGGCCCACCGUGCCGAUAAUCGGUACGGGUCAUGAGAGUGAGAGCCCGGAGACGGAAUCUGAGACAAGAUUCCGGGCCCUACGGGGCGCAGCAGGCGCGAAACCUUUACACUGCACGCCAGUGCGAUAAGGGGACUCCAAGUGCGAGGGCAUAUCGUCCUCGCUUUUCACCACCGUAAGGUGGUGGUGGAAUAAGAGCUGGGCAAGACCGGUGCCAGCCGCCGCGGUAAUACCGGCAGCUCAAGUGAUGACCGCUAUUAUUGGGCCUAAAGCGUCCGUAGCCGGCCAGGUAAGUCUAUCGGGAAAUCUCCCCGCUUAACGGGGAGGCGUCCGGUGGAAACUGCCUGGCUUGGGACCGGAAGACCAGAGGGGUACGUCUGGGGUAGGAGUGAAAUCCCGUAAUCCUGGACGGACCACCGGUGGCGAAAGCGCCUCUGGAGAACGGAUCCGACGUGAGGGACGAAAGCUCGGGUCACGAACCGGAUUAGAUACCCGGGUAGUCCGAGCCGUAACGAUGUCUGCUAGUGUGCCACAGCUACGAGCCUGUGGUGUGCCGUAGGGAAGCCGUGAGCAGACCGCCUGGGAGUACGUCCGCAAGGAUGAAACUUAAAGGAAUUGGCGGGGGAGCAC
RNAcentral lists this ribosomal RNA (871 nucleotides) under uncultured archaeon. RNAcentral's name for it is "bacterial SSU rRNA". It matches the Rfam family "Archaeal small subunit ribosomal RNA", at positions 1 to 879 of the family's 1478-position model. The record is from RNAcentral.